GAGGGGAAGAACGUGAGAAGCAGCAACAACCCAGACCUCAGAAGCAGAACGCGAGAGGUAAUUUCUUUAAUGUCACUUUGUAGUCGCCAAGUUGGACUGGUUAAGAAAUGGCUGUCACAGGAGGCUUUGCUUUUCUUCGGAUGGAUUUAGAAAAGUCCUCAUGGGUUAAGAAAUGGAAAUUGAAGUGGUACCGUUACUCAGUUCACUUUUAUCAGAAAUAAUGGGAAAACUUUUAGGAAGUGAAAGGGAAAUAGCUAAUGAAUUAAAAUUAGAUUGAGUGUACAUUUCCUUACAUGUACUCACAAAAAAACGUUUUCAUUGCGUUUCUAUUUGAUUAGGUUUAAUAUCAUUUUUAAAAUUCAGUUAGGUUAACUAGUAUAAAUUGCAAAAUCGUCAUGGUUUCAAAAAUGAAACACUGAGACUAUAGCAGCUCAUUGUGAAAAAGAUUUAAGGUACAUUUUCCUCAUUUAGAAUAUACAUACCCUACAUAAAGUGAACAUGCUAUUAUGUUAAAAUGACACAAUUAUCUAUGAGCACCUCAUUAAGACUACUGUGUAUCAGUACAGCUCCCAUGUCACAAACAAGAUUAAAUAUUCAAAAUUCUCAAAAGCCUUGCCAAAAUCAAUCCAUUGGAUUUUGUUCAAGAAUGAAACAUGAACCAGAGGUCACAAAUGAAACCUUUGGAGAAGUUCUUUUGAAACCGAAAAAGAGAAACUUUUCACCCAAAAGGUUGUGGAAAAUCAUGGCUUCUUUUAAUAAAUGGCUGAAUGAGAGGCUUGAAUCAAUUAGCUAAUUGCAGUCAACCAAGCUAGAUGGGCCCAAUGUCCUCCUCUCAUUUGUAACAAUAGUUCUAUUUUCAUCUUCUUCUUAUCCCUAAAAAUAUGAGCCCUUCAUGUCCUGUGCCGUGGGACAGAUUUUGCGAAGGGAUGUUUCAAGUCGGGGAUGAAAGCAGAACAGAGGAAAUAUUAAGGAAAUGACGGAGCAUAUGUACAUGCAUCUUCAAGCAAUCCAAAACGUAAAUUGUUGAUAUAAUACAUUACAUACAACUCAAGGACUUGUUGAAAUCCUUUGUUUCCUCUACCUGAUGAAGAAUACACACUAUGGUACAACGAGGAACUGAAGUACAUACUGAAAAUGAGAUGCCACUUGACAGAAGCAUGAGGAGACCUCGCCUGGCACUCCAGAAAAGUGCUACUGCCCUCCACUCCAUAUUGCACCAUCUC
Lepisosteus oculatus (spotted gar) is the source of this 1223-nucleotide non-coding RNA. Lineage: Eukaryota; Metazoa; Chordata; Actinopteri; Semionotiformes; Lepisosteidae. The record is from RefSeq and is a predicted model, not a curated record.